This is a long non-coding RNA of Bactrocera neohumeralis, 1460 nucleotides long. RefSeq lists it as uncharacterized. Lineage: Eukaryota; Metazoa; Arthropoda; Insecta; Diptera; Tephritidae. The transcript is spliced from 3 exons. The record is from RefSeq and is a predicted model, not a curated record.
GUGGCACUACCACUGCACUUCCUAUAGUUAGACAUUUAGAGAGCAAUUUUAAAGUAUUUCCACUACUUUCACAAGAACUUUACACACGUAAGGACAUAGCCAAAGUAAGUUAGACACCACCGAUUACUGCUGUCAAAAUCAUAUGGCUUGCUACGCGAGUACAUACAUACAUAUGUAUAGUAAAUGUAUAUACCAUUUAUAAGUAGAUAAAAGUAAGGAGAGCGCAAAUCUCUUCGACAACUUAUCAAAUGAUUGCUCGCUGUGAGCGCACACACACGAACGAAUUGAAGAGAAACAUUGCAGGUUUACCAAAACUAUUUUAAUUUGCUCGAUAAAGAUACAUAUGUGAGUUAGUAAUUUCAAUGAUUUGGAUAGCCGUAAAAUCGGAAUAAAUGUUGUUGUAGACGGACUUUUGACAAGUCCAUGAAUGCUCAACGAUUGGUGGUGUAAAUGGAUAAAGGAUUACUUGCUUAUGUAUGUAUGUGUGAAGCAUUAUUAAUUAUUCAUCUGAAGAACAUCGUGAAAUAAUUUUUGUCUUUCUUAUUUAAAAUUUUAAAAUCUAUUUGGGUGAAAUAUAAGUAAUAAUGCUAUAGCCAUCGUAGCCACACUCACUCCGCAGCCAACGGGGAUUAAAAAAUCGCAAUGGCAUUGUAAACUAUUUUCGAAAAUGGCUAUAUUAAAUAUCUCUGUCCGUUAAGGCACUGGAAAAAUAUAUUUUACUUGUUAUCAAUGCUUUCAGCUUCAGUUACAAUGUACAUAAAUGUUAGUUGCACAAGUUUUUUAAUCUCUCUUCAUAUGAGGAUUAUCUAUUUCAAGUGCUUUAGAUAGAUGGUUCUUUCAAAGCAGUAGCUUGAAUCCAUGUGGUAUACCUGCUCUGCUGACACUGGCUCAUCAGUGAUCGCAGCGAAAAUUUCGAAACACUGUGCUCGCACUUUAGUAUAAAUUGAGCUGUUGAAUUUCACAACAGCACAAUCGUCAAAGUAUCGUAGGCCACUCAACAUCUUUAGCGGAUUAUAUAACGUCGAAUUUUGCUAAACGAAAAAGUGAGAAGUUCGCUAUUAUAAAACUAUGACUGAAGUUACGGAAAUUGAGUUAUUAAAAAACAAAGAAAACGAAAUUAAAGCGGCCACCACCAUAAUGCCUAGUAAUCUUGAAAUCAUCGGUUGUCCAAAACCAGGUGGAGCUCUGCAACGUCUGGCCGAUCUCGCUGCAGCCAUCGCAGCGGAAGACCGGAGCGCAAAUAGCGAUAGCGAUUAUGACGACGAGAGCGACACAGAAUCGGAUGACAGUGACUACUUUAGUAUCGACAUACCCUUCCGGACCCGUAGGGCAUCCUUGCCAGCUGUCAUUGAAGCUCAAAAAGUAACUGAGGCCGCAACUGCUGCCAUGAGGAAAUUGUGGACUCAACGCAUGGCACGUCGAUCCAUGUAUUUGUAGAGCACCCACUGCUUUUAAAACUU